This 440-nucleotide ribosomal RNA is filed under the name uncultured Exiguobacterium sp. Its description in RNAcentral is "bacterial SSU rRNA". It matches the Rfam family "Bacterial small subunit ribosomal RNA", at positions 358 to 790 of the family's 1533-position model. The record is from RNAcentral. Lineage: Bacteria; Bacillati; Bacillota; Bacilli; Caryophanales.
GGAAUCUUCCACAAUGGACGAAAGUCUGAUGGAGCAACGCCGCGUGAGUGAUGAAGGUUUUCGGAUCGUAAAACUCUGUUGUAAGGGAAGAACAAGUACGAGAGGUAAUGCUCGUACCUUGACGGUACCUUGCGAGAAAGCCACGGCUAACUACGUGCCAGCAGCCGCGGUAAUACGUAGGUGGCAAGCGUUGUCCGGAAUUAUUGGGCGUAAAGCGCGCGCAGGCGGCCUUUUAAGUCUGAUGUGAAAGCCCCCGGCUCAACCGGGGAGGGUCAUUGGAAACUGGAAGGCUUGAGUACAGAAGAGAAGAGUGGAAUUCCAUGUGUAGCGGUGAAAUGCGUAGAGAUGUGGAGGAACACCAGUGGCGAAGGCGACUCUUUGGUCUGUAACUGACGCUGAGGCGCGAAAGCGUGGGGAGCAAACAGGAUUAGAUACCCUAG